GAAUCUUGCGCAAUGGGCGAAAGCCUGACGCAGCAACGCCGCGUGAGUGACGACGGCCUUAGGGUUGUAAAGCUCUUUUGGCGGGGACGAUAAUGACGGUACCCGCAGAAUAAGCCCCGGCUAACUUCGUGCCAGCAGCCGCGGUAAUACGAAGGGGGCUAGCGUUGUUCGGAAUCACUGGGCGUAAAGCGCACGUAGGCGGACUUUCAAGUCAGGGGUGAAAUCCCGGGGCUCAACCUCGGAACUGCCUUUGAUACUGUUGGUCUCGAGUCCGAUAGAGGUGGGUGGAAUUCCUAGUGUAGAGGUGAAAUUCGUAGAUAUUAGGAAGAACACCGGUGGCGAAGGCGGCCCACUGGAUCGGUACUGACGCUGAGGUGCGAAAGCGUGGGGAGCAAACAG
RNAcentral lists this ribosomal RNA (399 nucleotides) under uncultured bacterium. Its description in RNAcentral is "bacterial SSU rRNA". It matches the Rfam family "Bacterial small subunit ribosomal RNA", at positions 359 to 775 of the family's 1533-position model. The record is from RNAcentral.